AAACACGUCGUCGUCGAGCUCGAUACUACUCCUAGUUGUGGUAAGAGAGAGAGAGAGUAAAAGCGGGAGAGCGAGAGAAGAUGAAACACGUGAGGAUGAGGUGGGCAAGUUGGACUUUGGAGGUCCGGCCGGGAUGAGAUACAAAGAUGAGCUGCGCACCGUGAAUUGCCAGCCAGCCUCGCCAGUCGCCACCGCACCAAACAGCAAGCGAAGCGGGCCGGCAAAGUGGUGCCAUUUGCUUCCCUCCUCCUCUCGCAUCUCCUCUCCCUCUAUCCGUCCGCCCCUUUGCUGCCACCGCCACACAUAUCUACCACUACUGCUACGAGCGCUCUGUUUACCGCGGCCAUCAGCCCCCGAGCCGCGCCGUAACUCCCGUCCCGACUAGUGUCGCGUCAGUAAACCACCGCCGGACCAAACCCUAGCGGCCCGCCGGCGAUGUCGGCGUCUCCCCCGCCGCCGGAGGAGGACGCCGUGCCUCUGGCCGUCGCCGUCGCCGGCAACGACAGGGUCCUCGCCGCGGCGCACCACAUCGUCAAGUCGCUCGCCACCUCCAAGAACGCCGCCGACGACAUGAUCCGCAUCCUCUCGGGCUUCGACUACCGCUUCUCCAACAUCACCUCCGACCUCUUCCACUCCACCUCGCCCUCUCGCUCCCGUUCCCCGUCCGACGCCGACGCCGACCCGGAGGCCCCCUCCCUGGCGGAUUUCGACGAAGCGGCGCGGCUCAUCCACCUCUGGGACACCACCCCGGAGGCGCUCGUCUUCGAGGCGCCCGAGGACGACGCCGCCAACUACCUCGCCGCGGUCGACGUCGCCGUCGACCACCUCGCCGCCGGGGGCGCCGCCGCCGCCUCGGGCCGCGCGGGCGUCGCCGUGCAGCUCGCCAUGGCGCGCCUCGAGGACGAGCUCCGCCACCUCAUGCUCCACCACGCCGUGCCGCUCGACGCCAGCGGCCUCUACUGCUCGCUCCGCCGCCUCUCGCUCGAGUCCAUGGACGACCUCGACACCUCCUCCGAGUUCGACCCCACCACCCCGCACAGCCAGGAGGGCGCGCCAGAUACCGCCCGCAGCGCCAGUCUCGUGGGGAACCCCUUCGACGACCAGCUGUUCGACCUGGUGCGGCCUGACGCUGUUGAUGAGCUGCGCGCCAUUGCUGAGCGGAUGGGGCGCGCUGGCUAUGCAAGUGAGCUCGUGCAGGUUUACUGUGGCAUCCGCCGGGACCUGCUUGAUGAGUGCCUCACAGUUCUGGGGGUCGAGCGUCUCAGCAUCGAUGAGGUUCAGCGUGUGGAGUGGAAGCAGCUGAAUGACAAGAUGAAGAAAUGGGUGCAUGGCGUCAAGACGGUUGUCCGCUCCCUGCUGACAGGCGAGCGCCGGCUCUGUGAUCAGGUGCUCGCAGUGUCCGAUGAGCUGCGGGACGAGUGCUUUGUUGAAUCCACCAAGGUUUGCAUAAUGCAGAUUCUUAACUUUGGGGAUGCUGUGGCUGUGUGCCCUCGUUCGCCCGAGAAGGUGUCCCGGAUUCUUGAUAUGUAUGAGGCACUUGCUGAGGUAAUUCCUGAGCUCAAGGAACUGUACUAUGGGACUCCUGGGGAUGAUGUGAUCUGUGAUUUGGAGGGGGUCCUUGGGAGGCUUGGGGAUGCAGUCAAGGGUAACCUUCUUGAGUUUGGGAAGGUUCUACAGCAGGAGUCGUCACGCCGGCCUAUGAUGGCUGGUGAGAUCCACCCAAUCACACGUUAUGUGAUGAACUAUCUUAGGCUGUUGGUCGUUUACAGUGAUACGCUUGACAAACUCUUGGAUGAGGAUGCUGCCGGAGAUGCUGAUCAUAAUGCUUCAAAUGGAGGUGCUGAUGAUGACGAGGAGUAUCUGCAGAGCUUGACCCCACUUGGACAUCGGUUGGUGAAGCUCAUGUCUUACUUGGAGGCCAAUUUGGAGGAAAAAUCUAAACUGUACGAGGACGGUGCACUCCAGUGUAUAUUUUCCAUGAAUAAUACACUUUAUAUUGUCCAAAAGGUGAAGGAUUCCGAGCUCAGGAGGAUUUUAGGUGAUCAUUGGACACGGAGGCGCCGUGGAAAGAUUCGGCAAAAUUCCAAGAGCUACCUUAGGAUAUCGUGGACAAAGGUUUUGUCCUAUCUCAAGGAUGAUGGUCAUGGCAGUGGGAGUGUAAGUCUUGGGAAUUCAAGCUCGAGGGUCAAAGAGAAAUUUAAGAACUUCAACUUUGCCUUUGAUGAGAUUUACAGGAGUCAAACGCUUUGGAAGGUACCGGAUCCUCAACUCCGUGAAGAGCUCAAGAUAUCUAUAUCUGAAAAUGUGAUUCCAGCAUAUCGUGCUUUUCUGGGUAGAUAUGGUAGUCUAGUGGAUAAUGGAAGAAGUUCUGGUAAAUACAUAAAGUACACCCCAGAGGACUUGGAAAAUCAACUGUCUGAUCUUUUCGAAGGCUCACUAGGGUCUGCCAACCAUUCCAGAAGAAGGUUAUAGUUCCUAUGACAGAAUUUGGUUACAGGUAUAUCUUUGUUACAAGGGGAAGUAUAUUGCUGAACCGCUGGUUACAUGUAUUGGAUUGGUGCAUGUUCCCUAGUUGGUAUGGUGCUGUAAUACCGCAGGAGUCCACAGGAGGAUCCUUUGGUUAAGUCAGAUUAUGUGUAACAAGAAAUAAUGUACAUGUAUUGUUUUUCCAGUGUACUCAUUUCUUUGCACACUACAAUGUCCAAAAUCUAGAUUUGGCACCAUGUAGAGGCGUGCUUCUUGGAAUAUAUUGAACAUGUUAUAUGUGUUUCAGUUGGAAUAACUUGCAGAAGAUGUGGGAAAAGGGCAUGUUUAGGCCGCAAACCAGAAGUAACAGAGUUUGCCAUUUGCAUGCUUAGAGAAAACGAAGUGAAACAAACAUGUCUUAUGAAAUCGAUGAAGCUACGGAUCAUAAAACUGACCAUAGUGCAAAAUCCGACAGAUCGUACUGUUGAAGAAAGUAAGUAUCAUUAAUUUGAUUGCUGCGCAAAAGUCUAGACACUUCUUUUCUUUAUGCUCACAUACAACUUAUGUUACCUUAGAAUGAAGGCUUAUGUUUUCUCUAGUAAGAUACUUGUAUGAACUAAACACAUUUAUCGUCAGAGUCUGUAACAAAGGUUACUUAAUCAGACUGUAGGGCACAGUGUCAAAAAAUAAAUUCAGACUGUAGGUUAGUGGUACAAGCUAAUAAUGAUCUUCAGGCAGUACGUACUAAUUUAGAGGUGCC
Molecule: ribosomal RNA, 3226 nt
Filed under: Triticum aestivum (bread wheat)
Lineage: Eukaryota; Viridiplantae; Streptophyta; Magnoliopsida; Poales; Poaceae
Description: partial small subunit ribosomal RNA
Source: RNAcentral